AGCCCCGAGGUGAUUUAACACGUUAGAUUGCAAAUCUUAAGAAGCAGGCUAACUACCUGCCGGGGCUU
This 68-nucleotide transfer RNA is filed under the name Channa striata (snakehead murrel). RNAcentral's name for it is "tRNA-Cys". It matches the Rfam family "tRNA". Rfam says of the family: Transfer RNA (tRNA) molecules are approximately 80 nucleotides in length. Their secondary structure includes four short double-helical elements and three loops (D, anti-codon, and T loops). The record is from RNAcentral. Lineage: Eukaryota; Metazoa; Chordata; Actinopteri; Anabantiformes; Channidae.